Molecule: long non-coding RNA, 3440 nt
Organism: Gymnodraco acuticeps
Lineage: Eukaryota; Metazoa; Chordata; Actinopteri; Perciformes; Bathydraconidae
Exons: 2
Source: RefSeq, a predicted model, not a curated record
ACUUCACCUGUGGUUGUAUUGCAUCUUCUUUAGAUGAAUGUGAUAUCCAAGAUAUAGCUGGGUUAUGAAUAUCAUUUGACCAAAACCAACAUUAUUGAUCUCUCACCUGCAAUGGUGUACAGUACAUAUACUCAAGACAGUAUUAAGAAACCAUUAUGUGGUUAACUAAGAGUUCCCAGAGAAAACUAUCUUAACAUUAAGUAGUUGCUAUUUCAGUCGUUCGCACGGUUUUCAGUGAACACAACAAAAACCAAAAAAAAGCUCAUGUAUUUUAGUCUCUUGAAAAACAUUCAAUAGAAAGUGAACAGCAAAGGAUAAAAGACUUGGCAGUUUAUUACACAGGCAUUUGCUGUGAUCUAUACUUUAUUUGAUGGUUACUGGCAGCUAAGUUUAUAAAGAAGUUCAUCUCCUUUUUAAUCAUUAAACAUACAGUUUGUAUAAGAUUCAACUGACUUUACAAAAACAUAACUAAAUAGUUAUGAAACCUAAGCUGUACUUUAAACCUAAUAAAGGACAACAUGCCAGUUCUUUUUAGGUUUUGCAGUUGGGGUUGAGAUUUGACAACAUAUUAACCAAGCUGAAACCAGUAUCAACAUGCUUAUUGUAUCUCUUUUGCAUUCAAUGUAAGCAUUUGGCUAUUUAACUGGGAAAGGAACUUGAUAGAUCUUGAUAGAUUCAGUUCAGGCUAAAAGACAGUAGCUCUCAUUCCAAAAAAUAACUGCUAAAUAAGACCAGUUUACAAAGUAGAAACGGCAGCAGAUGAUAAUGAAGUUGUUCAGCUUCUAUUAUUAAUGAAAGUUCCACUAGGACUGAAAAAUGAUGGGAUGCUCUGCUCUCAGAUGUCUUGAAUAAAAUCACACUACAAAAAUCUUUUCCUCAUAAAUCUUCAGGAUAUUUGGUUGAGUACACAGCAGUUUGCAGAGAGCUCUCUAACCAGACUACAGACUGGUUUCAUUCUGGCCUGUUAUGAAGUUACUCACUUAAUUAACAUUUAUAGGCGACAGCUCAUGUGACUAGCAGCUACCAGCGUUAACAUUCUGACCGGUGAAGGUGACGAUCAGGUGGACUUAAAAUGAGAAGCUGCUACCUAACUGUUUAUACACUGCUAUUUGCUAAUAAGAUUAGGCAGAGACAGGAAAGAAGAGUUAAUGUUAGUGAAUCUGUAUUUUGCCAGCUCCAGUGCCAGGGUUACAUAUCCCAGCUGCAGCGUUAUAGGUGGGCCUAGGCCCACCCACUCUGGCACUGGGCCCACCCAUUCAUUGAUCAAAAAUGACUUGGCGAAAAUAUAGUUUCCAACAUUUCUUGAUCAAAAUGAACAAUUAAAUAAUAAAAUAAGAGCAAAUCAGGCCGAACUCAUAGUCGAAGCGCGGGAGCAAACACAUCGUAGAACUUCUCGCGGCCGCGCGCAGACGAAGGAGGACAGUGGACUGGGCAGACACUACAAAUAUACCGCGCUCACUAACGAUGUCACAACAAUCGAUGUUCAGGUUUUUUUUAAAGAGUAAGAACAGAGUCGCCGCCGCCGGAACCACCACACUCAUCAUGCUCACAGCAGGUGCCGCCUCAGAGAGACAACAGUGUGUUUUAAUGUUGUGCCCCCACUGAGCUCAGUCCCUCUGCGGGACGUAGCACCCGUUGCAGGAUAACAGAAAAUAGCAUCCCAGUGCCGGACCUACCAGCCAUAGAUGACCCGGCGGCUACACAGCCAAAGCUCAUAAAGUACCCUCAGACACUUUUAGGACAAAAGAAAAGAAGCUUCGCUGCCCACUGAGGCUGAGGACUGAAGAGAGAUCUCCGAGGUUUUCCUGAAUUCUCAAACUGUGUCAUCAAGACCCAGGAGGGAGUACGUGCGGUUGCCACGGCUACAAUUUAUAUACCGUUUCACAAGGCUGGUGGAAAAAAUGGCCGCCAAGGUGGAUUGUUGCUGAGACUGGAUAAGGGAGCAAAAAAAAAAAGGCCAGGUAUCUCAUGCUCAACUAUUCCUCCUUUUUCUUUUUUUCUAGAUUUCAUCAUAUUUCAAAUAGAGCCGACACUACAAGGACCCAAAUGUAUUUAUUAUCUGUAAUGGUUUUUUAUGAGUCUACUACAAUCUCUCCUCCAAGUCUGCUGCUGUCAUUACCGCGGUCCUCAAUGGGUUCACGGAGAGGUUUAACUCGUCUUCAAAGGAACCCCCCCCCCUCUUUACUUGGACAUGAACUGUUUGACCACGUCUCUAAAAAGUCUUACCACGAAUCCUCUUCGUUCUGUCAAUGUGAACAGCGAAGUAGUGACUGUUCCCGCUCUCCUGGCGAUCCGUGUUCCAUCCUUCCGCACCGUUAGUUGGAUUGGUGGAUGUAUUUAUAAUGAACUCUAUUCCUUUCCAGAAACAUGAUUUGUCUCUCUUCCAUUUCAUUUUUAACUUGAGGACUGUCAUGUCAACAAACCCCCCCUACCCUUCCCCUUUCAACUCUUUAUUUUCCUGAGAUACAUUUUUACAUCACUUUAUUUAAAGCGUCACGUUUAAGAAAAAAAGCACUUUAUCUGUACCUUGGUGGCCUGCUGUGAGCUCACUGUCUGAGACACUAUUUGCGAGAUACAGCCCUGAUAGGCAGCAGGCGAGUUCAGAAGCCUUGUGGUUGACUAUCCAUGGCCUUGGAGAUACAAAAAAACCUUUCUUUGUUUUAUUUUAUUGUACGAUGUAUGGGACACCAGACACGGAUGGUUGUGUACACUGUAUUCUCGACUUUGGGUGCAUUUUCUCUCUCAGCUCACACACACACUACAACAACAUUUCCACUGGAGAAACAUGGGUGAACACAUGUGUCAAAGCCCCCUAUGCAUUAUCAGUUAAAGCUUUAUGAGUGGGAGAAGAAGGAAAAACAUGCUGUAAGAAUACUGUGAAUUCAACUGCUGAAGAGGAGCUCCCUACUACUCAGAGUCAUUGGCAGAAGAGCAGACUGCAACGCUGACCUUUAGUGACCUUUGUGUUGAAAGCAGCACUGUUGGAAUAGGGGGAGGGGAGGCAGUGAAGGCAAGAGGCUGUCAAGCAAAGCCCGGUCUGUAUUAAAAAAAAAAAAACACAGAGCGAAGGCACACAGUCACGCUCGGCCAACCAGACGUCUCCCUCAUGCCCGUCUGGAACACUCCGCUCACAUGGAGGCUGAAAGCAGCUCAUCCUUUGUCAAAGAGAGACGUGUGUUUAUUAGGGGAGCAUGUAAUGCACUCCUCCCAUUUUUGAUAAUCUGCGGUUUGACUGUGCUGUCAAGUCCCGGCUAGUUUCCAGGCAGCCUUACACAAGACGAGUGGGAGAGUCUCAGCGUAUGUUUGCCUGAGAGAGGCCGGCAGGAUGAGCAACAUGGCUGUCUACUGUUGCCCACGUUGGUCAAUGUUAUUGGCUACUUUUCUUUUGUUUUCUUUUUUACAUGUACUGUACAUAAAAUAAAAUAUAAAGCAAUACCUGU